GCCGAGCGGGGACUGUCGAGCUGGGCCGCGGUUCCUCCAGCACCGCUGGUAGCGGGGUGCGGACCCGCGACAGCCUCUCAGCUCCGGGCAGUGAGGUGCGAGAGGCGCUGCGGGGCGAAUAAGAAUGCUUGGACAAGAUCUUUCUGAUAAGUGGCACAGUAGGACCCACUAGCUUCUCUCUGGCCACGCAGAACAACGUGCCAGAUACAGAUGAAGGCAAAAACCACUUGGAAGGCAAGGUUCAAAUGAAGUGGAAGAAACAUGUUUCUGAAAAAUGUAAGGACAGGUGCUUCAGAAGUAGAACCAGAUCCACACAUCACUGGAUUGGAGCUAUACCAAUGCUGCUACCAGUCAAUAUCUGUACAAACAACUGCACCC
Molecule: long non-coding RNA, 378 nt
Filed under: Gallus gallus (chicken)
Lineage: Eukaryota; Metazoa; Chordata; Aves; Galliformes; Phasianidae
Description: long non-coding RNA NONGGAT001798
Source: RNAcentral